RNAcentral lists this transfer-messenger RNA (373 nucleotides) under Candidatus Nanopelagicaceae. RNAcentral describes it as "Planktophila sp009699575 Standard tmRNA". It matches the Rfam family "transfer-messenger RNA". From Rfam's summary of the family: Bacterial tmRNA, also known as 10Sa RNA or SsrA, is named for its dual tRNA and mRNA-like properties. Its role is to liberate the mRNA from a stalled ribosome. The record is from RNAcentral. RNAcentral also lists the same sequence under 2 other names. Lineage: Bacteria; Bacillati; Actinomycetota; Actinomycetes; Candidatus Nanopelagicales.
GGGGGUGAACGGUCUCGACUUUGGAUGUUGAGACAGGGGAAGCGGGCCGAGGAAGCCAGGAUGAUCUCGUUAACCAAUAACCUGUGCAAAAAAUCAAGCGCCAGUACAACUGCCGCUGAUUACGCCCAAGCUGCCUAAGCUGGCUCCGUAAUCCGUUAGCCCAGAUGCGCCUUCGUUCUGGAAUCUAACGCCGCUAGAGGGCUUUUCUUGAUGUUCGCGUUGCGGAGAACAUCGGAGAACUUUUCCGCAAAUGAGUUUGUCGAAUACUUGUGUGUAAGAGAUUCGGAACUGAGAAAACGAUAAUCACACUACGCCCGUAGAAGCCCUGUUUUAGUACCGAAGGACCCGGGUUCGAUUCCCGGCACCUCCACCA